AUACGAUGACACCGAAUUAUUCCAUGAAGAAAAUAUGAAAUUAACCUUUCCUAAAACCUAUCAAAAACCUAUCAAAAACAAUAAAUACAACGUUGGAAGAUCUGAGCCUGAGCAAAAUGUUACUACACUUUGGCUAUACUUCAGCAAAAUAAAACCAAAAUAAUUCCAGAAUCUUUAAUUCCUGACCUACACAUCCUACCUAACCCUGCUACCGCGAUCAACUACGUUCCGUCCAUACCAUCAAAUACCAACGAAGACAUUCCUCAAAUCUGCAGGACUUAAGCUAACUGUCAAACCGGAAAGAAAUAAAGAACAACUGGAAUUAAA
Molecule: long non-coding RNA, 327 nt
Organism: Drosophila teissieri
Lineage: Eukaryota; Metazoa; Arthropoda; Insecta; Diptera; Drosophilidae
Exons: 3
Source: RefSeq, a predicted model, not a curated record